Molecule: unclassified non-coding RNA, 3036 nt
Filed under: Hevea brasiliensis (rubber tree)
Lineage: Eukaryota; Viridiplantae; Streptophyta; Magnoliopsida; Malpighiales; Euphorbiaceae
Source: RNAcentral
CUCAUUUCUUAAAACUCUACUUAAGAAUUACAACUGUUUUAUUAAUUAUUUUUUUUCAAAGCAUCUAAAUGAAAUGAUGCUUUUCUUAAUAUUGUUUGGAGCACAGUACCAAACGGUCUCUAUGAAGGUGCCAAGAGUAGUACAUUUGUAUGGUGGGAGUCUAAAAUCUUAAGGAGGAAAAAGGAUUGGAGUGUGUGUGUCCCCAGAAGCACAUGGCGAAUGGGAAGCUCUGACUCAGCCCUUGGCUUCUGCCCCUUUGGAUGUUGAUCUUGUGCAGCUGGCAGCCUUCAUGUGUUGGGAGUAUAUGUAAGUAGAGAAACGCUUUGCUCUUUAAGGAUCAGUUCCAAGAUACUCAUGUGGUCAUCAAUUGUGCUUUGGCCUUUCAAUACUCCAUUCAAACCUACAGCAGGCCUUUGCACUCGGGUUCAGCAGCCCCCUUCGCAUCUCCAACAAUGGAUACCUCCGCCAUUUAAUUUGUUGAAAGCUAACUUUGAUGCUGCUGUUUAUAUCAAUCAAAAGAAAGGUGCCUAUGCAUUUAUGAUUAGGAAUCACAGUGGAAGAUCUUUGGAUUCAGCCACCCAUAUUUAUCUAAGUAUGGAUGAUCCCCUCGUCCUAGAGAGUUUAGCUUGCAGGGAUGCGCUUCAACUAGUAAAUACUAAGGAUAUACGAGUCAUUUUUGAAGGAGACUGUCAGGUGUUGAUGGUAUCUUAAAUUGCCAAUAUCCAACAAUCAUCCGUAAUAUUGUUCAUGAUAUACAAGAACCGGCUUCUAACCUUCAGUUAGUUUACUUCUCUUUCCGUUUAAAUCCUAUUUUCCAACAUAUGCUUUUACCAAGGCUUAUGCCCUCAUGAUUUAGUGGAAUGAAAAUACAUCUUCGGACAAAAAAAAAGGAAGCCUCCCCAAGGCCCAAGCACCUGCCUUUUACCAUUAAGCCACAUUGUCACUUUAAGAGAUGACAUUCAUUCUGAUUCUUGCUAAGGUCCAGCUCAACUUUGUGCUCCUGUAAUAUCAUCUAAAAAGGUUGAGAUGAUAAAGAAAAUUCCAUAUAUAUAUUAAAUCACUCCUCUUGCGAAGCUUACAGUAACAGGAUCAAUUCAACAAAAUUCUAGCCUCGCAUAUCUGGUAAUGCAAUUACACUUGCUAAGCAGUUAUCCACUUGCAUCGGGUUUAAACUCCAUAUUUCAAUUUUAAUAAAGUGUAAUCACUUGCAACUCAUUUAUCAAAUCAGUAACAGUAACACUCCAGCUUCACGGCUGUACAGCUUCCAGAAGUUUCUCAUACACCUCUCUAGCAGACAAAUCCUCCACCUGAUACAAGAACAAAGCGUUACUCAACUGUAACUAUCUUUAGAGUCAGAGUUUAGUCACCUUCCAUCUUUCAGAAGCAGAGUCAUGGAUAUAGAACUCAUUCUAAAAAUAUGAAAUAUCCACCCUAUUCAUUAUACAUACAGAGGAAAACUUUUUUUUGAGCUGCCAUAGAGAGGAAACUAGGUAAAGUAUGAAAGGUGUACACAUAUAAUGUCAAAGUAUCAACUUCUAGUCAUUGAUUAGAUCCCUUAAGAGAGAAUUGAUUCAAUCCAGUUUGCACAAAAGGGCCACCUAGGACAACCAUUUCAGACCAAUAUCUAGUUAUAGGGUAGUAUGUUAUAAUCCUACAAACUAAAUGAUUUAAAUGCAAUUUAGUUAAUUUGACAAAAAGGCUUAUUGACCAUUUCAACUAUAUAAGACAAGCAUGUGCUGAUCUUAUUCUCCUCCUUUUUUUAAGUUAAGAAAUCUUAUCUAGUAGAGACGAUGAUAAAGAAAAUCUACAAAAGAUGACAAUAACAUAUUGAAAAACAUGAUGGAAAAUCAAGGCAGCCGAAAGCCAGGGAUGCAGCAACAUGAGAGGAGAAGAGAAGUUGCAUAAACUGAACAUGCGAAUCUUACUAACACCUCCUAGGUAAGUUACAUAAAAAUUAAACAUCCAAGCACUAUAGAAGUUGACAGUCACACACAGAUGCAGAGGCAUACAGAGAAGGGGUUAGACAAGAAAACUUUAUAAUUCUUCAUGUAACUCACAACAAGGAGUUUUGAUUUGUUAUUCCAUCCCCUUUGAAGAGUCAUCUGGCUCAGUCUUAGACCCAACACUUUGCCCAUGAAUUCUAAAAGUUCAUUGUUAGCUUCCCCACGAGCAGCAGGCGCAGCUACCGUAACUCGAACAUCAUCAGCAUUCACUCUUGUUAUUGCUGAGCGUUGUGCACGGUCUUCAACUUCAAUAGCUACUUGAACGAGUCCUCCUUCUAACUGAGAUAUACAUGGCGGCACUGGAGCAUCCUGCGGAUUUGUUUCAGCAGCGACUGUACUAAGUGCUCCAUCAACAACAUAUAUAAAAGAAGCAGUUUCCAGAUCUUCUUCCGCACGAUAGCAAACAAACAGGCCACAACCCAUACAGUUCAUACGAAACUGCUUCUCCAAUUUCCCUUCACCCCGUUUCAAGAGAAUUUUUCCAGCCUCAUUAAUGUUCAAUCUUGCAAGAUGCUUCCUCUUAUCCAAUACAUAUGCUUUAUCAGUCUUUCUCUUUGGCAUUUUCUGCAAUUGUGUAUCUAAUAAUGAACAUAUUUUAGCAUGAAACGAUGAGAUAAUGAAGAUACAAUAGUAAAGUUUCUUUAUACAGAGUGCAAAAAUCAUAAAGCAACUGAAUUAUGGACAUGUGCAGUUAUUCUUCUGUCAUUCAUGUACUUAUGUAACAAUCUGGCUAAACUAAAAUUAUAAUUUUUCUUUCAUUGAAGGUGCCCUGUAUCAGAUAUUCAAAAGUUUCUGUUAUGGAUAACUGCACAACAUGAAAAAGUGUUUGGAUGUUGAAUCAACCAGAGUGGAAUUUUUCUGCGCUUUAGCAUAUCUUAUGCUAACCUAAAUUUCACAAUUAAAAUUCAUUCACAGGUUUCAGAACUUAUUAUACGCAUUCCAAAACAAAUCAGGUAGCUUUCUUUACUCCCCUAAACCUAAAUUUGAGUUGAGCACCAAUUUCAUUAAAGACCUUAAAUUUAGCUUCAUUACA